AAAGACUUAGUCCUAACCUUACAGUUAGUUCUUGCUAGACAUAUACAUGCAAGUAUCCGCAUACCAGUGUAAAUGCCCAAACCCCUUACCAAGACAAAAGGAGCAGGCAUCAGGCUCACCCUCGUAGCCCAAGACGCCUUGCCGCAGCCACACCCCCACGGGUAUUCAGCAGUAAUUGAUCUUAAGCAAUGAGUGAAAACUCGACUUAGCCAUAGCAACUUUCCACCCAAGGGCUGGUCAACCUUGUGCCAGCCACCGCGGCCAUACAAGAAGCCCAAACUAACUGCAUGCGGCGUAAAGAGUGGCACAGCACUAUCUAACCAACUAGGACCAAAAUGCAACCAAGCCGUCACAAGCCCAAGCUGCACACAAGCCCCCUCUCAAAACGGUCCCAGCACCACAGACCGACUGCCCCCACGAAAGCCAGGGCACAAACUAGGAUUAGAUACCCUACUAUGCCUGGCCCUAAAUCUAGAUGUCACCUCCCACCUAACAUCCGCCCGAGAACUACGAGCACAAACGCUUAAAACUCUAAGGACUUGGCGGUGCCCUACACCCACCUAGAGGAGCCUGUCCUAUAAUCGAUACCCCACGAUACACCCGACCGCUCCUUGCAAGGCAGCCUACAUACCGCCGUCGCCAGCCCACCUCAUUGAAAGAACAACAGUGAGCACAAUAGCCCACCACCACUAACAAGACAGGUCAAGGUAUAGCCAAUGGACCGGAAGAGAUGGGCUACAUUUCCUAAACUAGGAAACUACGAAAGGGGACAUGAAACCGCCCCCUGAAGGAGGAUUUAGCAGUAAAACGGGACAAUCAUGCCCCAUUUAAGCCGGCCCUAGGGCACGUACAUACCGCCCGUCACCCUCCUCAUAAGCCACCCAACCCCCAUACAUAUCUAACCCAACAAUCCGCUUAACAGACGAGGUAAGUCGUAACAAGGUAAGUGUACCGGAAGGUGUACUUAGCAUAC
RNAcentral lists this non-coding RNA (973 nucleotides) under Bucco macrodactylus. RNAcentral's name for it is "12S ribosomal RNA". It matches the Rfam family "Bacterial small subunit ribosomal RNA". Lineage: Eukaryota; Metazoa; Chordata; Aves; Piciformes; Bucconidae. The record is from RNAcentral.